Molecule: long non-coding RNA, 789 nt
Filed under: Homo sapiens (human)
Lineage: Eukaryota; Metazoa; Chordata; Mammalia; Primates; Hominidae
Description: HSALNT0053184
Source: RNAcentral
GGAUCACUUGAGCCCAGGAGUUGGAGACCAGCUUGGGCAACAUAGCGAGACCUCAUCUCUACAAAAAAUAAAAGAAAAUAUUAGCUGAGUGUGGUGGCAUGCAAUUGUUGUCCCAGCUACUUGGGAGGCUGAAGUGGGAGAAUCGCUUAAGCCAGAAAGGUGGAGGCUGCAGUGAGCCGUGAUUAUGCCACUGCAUUCCAGGCUAGGUGGCAAAGUGAGAUCCUGUCUCAAAAAAAAGAAAAGAAAAGAAAAAAGAAAGAAGGAAGGAAAGAAGGAAGGAAGGAAGGAAAAGGAAGAAAGGAAGGAAGGAAAAAGAAAGAAAAAGGAAGGAAGGAAGGAAGGAAAGAAGAAAGGAAGAGCUCCAGUUUUGCAUGUCUGCAAAUCAAGCAAGGGCUGGCUUAUGACUUCGGUGGCAGGACACUUUGUGACUUCUGAGGCUGGGUCAUAGAAGGCAAUACAGCCUCCAUCUCUGAUGACAUUGGAACCCAGCCACCAUGCUGUGAGGAAGCCCAAGCGUCCUGUGGAGAGAUUAUGUGGGAGAGAACCAAGGCCCCCAGGCCACAGCAUUGGCUGAGCUCCCAGCCAACAGCCAGCAUCAAUUUGUGGAUAUUCUUGGAAGCAGAUAUUCCAGUCUCAAGAUGAGUUGUCCCAGCUGAUACCACAUUGAGCAGAGAUGAGCUGUUCCUGAUUGUCUAACUGUAAGCAAAAUAAAUGAUUUUCAUUAUUUUAAGCCAUUUAAGUUUUAGAGUGGUUUGUUAUGCUGCAAUAGAUAGAGAUAAUUCAUUAAUU